Molecule: long non-coding RNA, 170 nt
Organism: Passer domesticus (house sparrow)
Lineage: Eukaryota; Metazoa; Chordata; Aves; Passeriformes; Passeridae
Exons: 3
Source: RefSeq, a predicted model, not a curated record
AAAAAACAUACACGUAAUAUUUAAUGUCACUUUUUCUUUCUCACAGCAUCUGUCUCUCCUACUACUGAGUCUGCAGAUGUAACCACAACAACAGUCUCCCCUACUGCUGGACCUGCAGAUGAAACCACAACAACAGUCUCUCCUAGUACUACACCAGCAGACAUUACCAC